RNAcentral lists this unclassified non-coding RNA (375 nucleotides) under plant metagenome. Its description in RNAcentral is "partial contains small subunit ribosomal RNA, internal transcribed spacer 1, and 5.8S ribosomal RNA". The record is from RNAcentral.
UUUCCGUAGGUGAACCUGCGGAAGGAUCAUUAACACUUUUUAUCUCUCUUUUUUUUCUCUCCUUUUUAACAAAAAAGAAAAAAAAAACCCAAACUUGUGUGGAAAUGUCCAAAAAAAAAAAAAAACUGGCAGGAGAAGGAAAUUUUCUUUCCUUAAAAAACAAUUUUUUUUUUUCUUUUUAUUUUAAUAAAAAACCCUUUUUUUUUUAAAAGAAAAAAAGCGUUAAAUUACCUUUUUUAAGGAAAAUUUUUGAUGUGUUGAUUCUUUUCUCACCUCAACAAAUUUUUACACUAAAUUCACAAAAACAAAAACAAAAAAAAUCUAAUAAUAAAAAAAACUAAGAUACAACUCUUAACAAUGGAUAUCUUGGUUCUC